Molecule: transfer RNA, 78 nt
Filed under: Clostridium perfringens C str. JGS1495
Lineage: Bacteria; Bacillati; Bacillota; Clostridia; Eubacteriales; Clostridiaceae
Also listed under: 5 other names
Description: tRNA-Lys
Rfam family: tRNA
About the family: Transfer RNA (tRNA) molecules are approximately 80 nucleotides in length.
Source: RNAcentral
UGAUUUGCUAGCUCAGUCGGUAGAGCACGUGACUUUUAAUCACGGUGUCCAGGGUUCGAUUCCCUGGCAGAUCACCAA